UACGUAGGGAGCAAGCGUUGUCCGGAAUCAUUGGGCGUAAAGCGCGCGUAGGUGGCUUCGUAAGUCCGUUGUGAAAGUCAAAGGCUCAACCUUUGAAAGCCGAUGGAUACUGCGGAGCUAGAGUACGGAAGAGGCGAGUGGAAUUCCUGGUGUAGCGGUGGAAUGCGCAGAUAUCAGGAGGAACCACCAUAGGGAAGGCAGCUCGGUGGGAAGGUUCUGGCACUGAAGCGGGAAAGGGUGGGGAGCGAACAGG
Molecule: ribosomal RNA, 253 nt
Filed under: uncultured bacterium
Lineage: Bacteria
Description: partial 16S ribosomal RNA
Rfam family: Bacterial small subunit ribosomal RNA
Source: RNAcentral